RNAcentral lists this ribosomal RNA (429 nucleotides) under uncultured Desulfovibrio sp. RNAcentral's name for it is "bacterial SSU rRNA". It matches the Rfam family "Bacterial small subunit ribosomal RNA", at positions 355 to 776 of the family's 1533-position model. Lineage: Bacteria; Pseudomonadati; Thermodesulfobacteriota; Desulfovibrionia; Desulfovibrionales; Desulfovibrionaceae. The record is from RNAcentral.
UGGGGAAUAUUGCGCAAUGGGCGAAAGCCUGACGCAGCGACGCCGCGUGAGGGAUGAAGGUCUUCGGAUCGUAAACCUCUGUCAGAAGGGAAGAACGGCCACCGUGCUAAUCAGCGGUGGAAUGACGGUACCUUCAAAGGAAGCACCGGCUAACUCCGUGCCAGCAGCCGCGGUAAUACGGAGGGUGCAAGCGUUAAUCGGAAUUACUGGGCGUAAAGCGCAUGUAGGCUGUACGGCAAGUUGGAGGUGAAAUCCCACGGCUCAACCGUGGAACUGCCUUCAAAACUACCGAACUGGAGUGCGAGAGAGGAUAGCGGAAUUCCAGGUGUAGGAGUGAAAUCCGUAGAUAUCUGGAAGAACAUCAGUGGCGAAGGCGGCUAUCUGGCUCGUAACUGACGCUGAGAUGCGAAAGCGUGGGUAGCAAACAGG